RNAcentral lists this long non-coding RNA (305 nucleotides) under Brassica napus (rape). Its description in RNAcentral is "long non-coding RNA (BNAP_LNC010841)". The record is from RNAcentral. Lineage: Eukaryota; Viridiplantae; Streptophyta; Magnoliopsida; Brassicales; Brassicaceae.
GUUACUCUCUUGCCCUCUCUCAUUGUUAUUGAAUUUUCUACUAGUAGACGAAAAAGGUAAACCAAUUAUAUAGUUUCAAUGCAUAAGCGAUUCGUAGUCAUUAUUGUAUUUUUGUGUGAUCCUCUCUCUUUAGGCUUAUUGUAUUUUUGUGUAAUCCUCUCUUUAAGUUUGUAAAAGAAGAUAGAUUAUUAAACAUGGAGUUUUUUUUUUUUUUUUUUUGAAACUAACAUGGAGUUUAUUUCAGCAUAGAAAACCAAUAAACAAUAGAAAAAAGUGGAAGAUAGAAGUUAUGUGUUUGGCUAGAG